RNA transcript from Panicum virgatum (switchgrass), 2786 nucleotides. RefSeq lists it as uncharacterized. NCBI's taxonomy places the organism in Eukaryota, Viridiplantae, Streptophyta, Magnoliopsida, Poales, Poaceae. The record is from RefSeq and is a predicted model, not a curated record. The transcript has 7 exons.
GGGAUUUUGGAUCCUCUCAUUUUGAAUUGAAAUCUACUUAAUAAAUUAGGCUAUUUAGUUUAGAUUUUGAUAUCCCACCACUUUCAAAAUUUUAGAUAUAACCCUAUUCUAAACUAAUAGGAUGGGAGAUAGAAAUUGAUUCUAGACACCACCAAACUAUAUUUAUAUUCCGUAACUUAUAACACGCUCUUUAGUUUACUCAUCUAUGAGAUAGCGAAUUGACCACUUACUGUUAAAAACAAAUUAGAUUUCCACACAAAUUAACUGAGCACCAGUGGUCUAGUGGUAGAAUAGUACUCUCCCGGCUGGUGCAUUUUUUCCUCGUUUUGUUUCUUUUUCUAUGCCCUCUUUUGUUAUUUCCCACCUUUUUUGUAGUAGAAUAGAUUUCAAGCAUUCACGUAUGCAUACCCAUGUACAUCUUCCCUACGAUUUCAAGCAGAGCUGAACAUCUAGUAAUUCGAGUGUAGCCAAGCACAGGGUUUGAAAAUCUCCCUAUAAAGGGUUCAGACUGACAAAACAUCAUCAGAACGCAUGUUCAGAAUUCAGAUACGCUGCGACUUCGGUAGCAUCCAGAAUUCUUGUAACAGUACACUUUUUUUCCCCUGCAGUUUUUUCCGGUUCACGCAUCAGCAUGUUAGCAGAAGGAAGAGUUGCACCUGCUUUAUUAUUAGUCAUUAAAGUUUCGUUUUUGAAGUAACUUUCAGCACUUAACUCUUCUGAUUUAGAGUUAAAGUGUCAGGGCUUCCUCCAUGCUGAAAAGGAGAUCAGAUACAGCACUCUCCCUGCUCACCACACACGGUAGCUGAGAGAAGGAGAUCAGCUCAAGAUCACUAGAGGCUACACCAUCAGGCUACAUUCAUGAUCCAUGCUUUAUGUGCAGAAGAUCACAUUUUCACCCCCAAAGCAUCCAUGAAUUGGUUUAACCCAUUGGCAUAAUAAUGCCGUUGUCUCGGUCCAGCGGAUUGGUUUUCCUGCUUCAUUGUGCGGUGUGCCCAGCAAGGGCUGCAAGGCUCGCCAAGCUCAUUCGCCGUACGCACACGGCACGCCGUCUGCUGCUAUGCUAUGCGUGCUCGGCUCCCUACGGCUCUACCACCCGUCGACUCCGUUCAGCAUCGCCGCGAGGAACAGGUCAUCUUUGAAAACUUUUUUUUUGAAGGGGGUCAUCUUUGAAAACUUGGUUAUAUGUUUGAGAAAUAUAAAAUGUUCAUCGUCAACCACAACGUAUCUUAUUUAAGGUAAAGACUUUACUACAACCGGCCGUACGAUUGUGCAAUUGUAUGGCCUCUUCCAUCCACCAUCUGUGUUUCAUCCAACGGCACGAACACCACAUGCACGCCUCGCUCACGCGCGCGCAGAUGACAGGGUGGCCCCACGUUAGAGCGGUGGACAAUUUUAUUCAGAACAUUCGAAACCGCGCCUGUUCAUUUCGUUCCCCUCCUCUCUCUUCGUUCCCGUCGACCUCUGGCGAUCCCACAGCCAACUCCCAUGGCACCCAGCUGAAUCCGGCCAUCACACCCUGACGAGUGCGGGUCGGGAGGCUGGAUCUCCGUGUGGUGGCUUACGCGCAUUUAUUUGGGAAGUGCAGAUCCAGGCCAUGUGUCCAGAACUGCACGCCGCUGGGGAUCUUGGGUAACGCCAGGGUGCUGGGAAAUUGCAGCAGCUCUUUUUCAUGCAUAUUUGUCACAAUGCCGAGAGGACAGAAGCAAAAAACAGCGCCCCCCUUCUUCUCAUACGGCGGCACAGGGCAUCGCCUGCUAGGCUUGUCAAGCUGUACAAAACCAUGUCUUCUAAUCAGAUGAGAUGAAGAUGAUAUGUGAUGUGGAAUUCGGCGGGCUGCUGAAGAUCUCUUGCGAAACAAUGCAGCGGAUCUCGCUAACUGGUUUUUCUUUGACUGUUUUGAUGCUGAGUCCUCAGAGCUUGUGCUUCAUGGAAGGGGUGGGAUCUCUGUUACAGCAGAAGCUGUCGCUGACAUACUGGGCUUACCAAACAAGGGCGGCGAAGUGAAAUACGAGCUUGAUUUGGAAGCUGUUAACUUUAUACUCUGUACAAAAUUGUCCAUGGCACAGCACCCAAAAUUGAAGCAAUUAUGGAAAAGGGUGUGAAGGAAAAUAACAUUGAAAUGAGGAUUUCCUGAGAUCAUGGCUGAUGAUUGUUGUAUCCACAUUCUUGUGGCCUUCAUGCUGCAACUAGUUUGUGCAUCAGUCCAAGGUGUUACGAGGAAUAGUUGAUCUUUCAAUGGUCAAGGAGUUGAAAUCUUUCAAUGGUCAAGGAGUUGAUUUGGUGCAAGUUUGUUGUGGAGCAGCUCCAGGAUGCCGCUAAAAAGAUGGACAAGAAAAACUCAGUGUGGGGGUUGCCUUUUCCUACUUGAGAUCCUUUACGCAGAUUCACCAGCGGUUGAUAAUGUAGAAAUCAGUGUCACUAAGGCUCGGGUCGCUGCAUGGACGAGGAAGCUAUUGGGCGAGGUGAUUAAGCUAGACAGAAACCAUGAUGGCUCAUUCGGCAAACUUAAGAUCUACUGGCAACAUAUUAACAGCAUUAGUGAUGGUGUGGACGACAGGGAAGCAACCAAGGGGGAUAUCCAGCACUUCUGUCCAGAAAUUUACACACACAUGUUUUUCAAAUCUCUAUGUAUAGCAAUUUGUUCGGGUAAAACAAAUAAGGUCUGUGUGGUUUUUGCCUCUGGAGGAUGUGUUUUUACCUGUGGAUCUAUUAUGUUGCUAGUACCCUAAAACAAAACUGCAGAUGAUGGAUACAUAGUAGUAAAAAGACUCGUCUUGAUAUGCUCA